AGCAGCGUAGCUGAACAUCUUACGGAUGGCCCAGGGCUCCAAAGGCUCGUUUCCUAAGUGAGAGAGAGCCUGGCUGAAGCUGUAUUACCAUUCAUUCUCCAGCCUCCGAAGUCUCAAAGCAUCACUUCCACCAUACUCUAACUGUCAAGACAAACACAAAGGCCCAGAGAAGGGGUCUCACUAUGUUGUCUGGAGUGCUGUGGUGGAGUGGAGUGGCUAUUCACAGAGCCUGUUCUGCUGGGACACAGAAUCACUUGCUCCAUCUCAUACAUUGAUGAUGAUUAAUUUGUAUGUGUACCUUCCAAAAAAGAUGGUUGUGUUUGAAUGGAGGCCUUCUGGACAGGAAAAUAUGGAGAGUGCGUGCUUUGGAUUCAAGACUGGGAAUGAGGGGACCAGAAACCUAUUCUGUGGCUGUUUCUUGUUAGGACUUUCCUAAGCCUCUGGAAAAGUGCAAAGUACAAUUAACAUUUGAGUCUGUCUGAGUCAUGAAGAAAUGGAGAUUACUGAAAAUAAUUCAUUUUGGUAUCUUCUUACAUCCUGAGAGACUAAUCUUUCCAAGUUCAUCUGAGGCUCCUCUUCUCCAUGACAACCUCAUCCAGGGAUUUCUUCCUGUCCUGGUGUUUUAUGACAUGUGGAAGGGGACUGUAGCAGGUGAUCUCCAAAGUCUCUGGAGACUUACUAAUGUGCAUCCUCAUCUCGCUUGUAAGGAUAAUAGCCUUCCUCCAAACCUCACACACUUUUGGAGGAGAUCACUUUUUUUAAAGUGCAUGGAAAUGUUUUGAAACAGUGAAAUCUAUAAUGAUAGGUUUCAUAAUUCUAACAUCCACACCAUAUGAAUCACAUCCUUCCUGAGAUAAUGAGCACACAAUUGCCUGGAUACCUGAAGGAAUGGAGACAGCGGCAGAAAACACUGCAGAGAGGUGGAAACAUCCGUUAAUAUUUUAAAAUCCCAUUACUGCUACCAACAAUAAUAAUGGAUGCAUAGAAAUAGAUCUGGAUUAGCUGAGCUUGAAACAGUCCAUCUCACACACACACAAAAGAAUUUCAGGUAAUGAAGAAAAGAAAAGGAAAAAAAUAA
Molecule: long non-coding RNA, 1078 nt
Filed under: Homo sapiens (human)
Lineage: Eukaryota; Metazoa; Chordata; Mammalia; Primates; Hominidae
Description: long intergenic non-protein coding RNA 635
Source: RNAcentral